CAAACGGGUGCGGAACACGUACAGAACUUUCCUUUAAGCGGGGGAUAGCCCGGAGAAAUCCGGAUUAAUACCCCAUAGUAUAUUAAAAAGGCAUCUUUUUGAUAUUAAAGAUUUAUCACUUAGAGAUGGCUGUGCGGCUGAUUAGGUAGUUGGUGUAGGUAAAGGCUCACCAAGCCGGCGAUCAGUAACUGGUGUGAGAGCACGACCAGUCACACGGGCACUGAGACACGGGCCCG
RNAcentral lists this ribosomal RNA (236 nucleotides) under uncultured bacterium. RNAcentral describes it as "partial 16S ribosomal RNA". It matches the Rfam family "Bacterial small subunit ribosomal RNA", at positions 99 to 334 of the family's 1533-position model. The record is from RNAcentral.